GAUGAACGCUGGCGGCGUGCUUAACACAUGCAAGUCGAACGGACAGGCCCUGCUUUUGUGGGGUUCACGUGUGGCGAACGGGUGAGUAAAACGUGAGUAUCCUGCACUUGACUUUGGGAUAACUUCAGGAAACUGGGGCUAAUAUAGGGUAGGAGCUCCUGCUGCAUGGUGGGCGAUGGUGAGAUUCGGCGGUGUGGGAUAGUCUAGCGGCUUAUCAGCUUGAUAGUGGAGUAGUGGCUUACCAAGGCUUUGAAGGGUAGCCGGCCUGGGAGGUUGACCGGCCACCUGGGUACUGCGGUACGGCCCAGACGCCUAUGUGCGGCAGCAGUGGGGAGCAUUGCGGAAUGGCCGGAAGCCUGAUGCGGCAACGCCGCGUUCGUGAUGACGUCCUUCUGGUUGUAAACCGCUUUCUCAUGUGCCGAAGCGUGAGUGACGGUAAUGGGUAAAAAAGCACCGGCUAACUACGUG
Molecule: ribosomal RNA, 468 nt
Filed under: uncultured bacterium
Lineage: Bacteria
Description: partial 16S ribosomal RNA
Rfam family: Bacterial small subunit ribosomal RNA
Source: RNAcentral